GAACGCUGGCGGCAUGCCUUACACAUGCAAGUCGAACGGCAGCACGGGGGCAACCCUGGUGGCGAGUGGCGAACGGGUGAGUAACACAUCGGAACGUACCCUAUCGUGGGGGAUAACCAGUCGAAAGAUUGGCUAAUACCGCAUGAUCUGGAGACAGCAAAGCAGGGGACCGGAGACGGCCUUGCGCGAUUGGAGCGGCCGAUGUCCGAUUAGCUAGUUGGUGGGGUAAAGGCUCACCAAGGCUUCGAUCGGUAGCUGGUCUGAGAGGAUGAUCAGCCACACUGGGACUGAGACACGGCCCAGACUCCUACGGGAGGCAGCAGUGGGGAAUUUUGGACAAUGGGGGCAACCCUGAUCCAGCCAUGCCGCGUGAGUGAAGAAGGCCUUCGGGUUGUAAAGCUCUUUCGGUGGGAACGAAACGGUUACAGCUAAUACCUGUGACUACUGACGGUACUCAUAGAAGAAGCACCGGCUAACUACGUGCCAGCAGCCGCGGUAAUACGUAGGGUGCGAGCGUUGAUCGGAAUUACUGGGCGUAAAGCGUGCGCAGGCGGUCUCGUAAGCUGGGUGUGAAAGCCCCGGGCUUAACCUGGG
Molecule: ribosomal RNA, 594 nt
Filed under: uncultured soil bacterium
Lineage: Bacteria
Description: bacterial SSU rRNA
Rfam family: Bacterial small subunit ribosomal RNA
Source: RNAcentral